ACGUGCGUGUGGGGUAAAAAUUACAAUUAGCGCCCUAGGGUAAAUAGUCACGCACGUGGGGCAGACUGUACAGCGUGCUGUAGGUUGACUGCUAAAAACGAGCUUCCUAGUCUGUUUGGGUGCACUCCAUCAGUCUUCUAAAAGGAUCAACGGUUCCAAAAUAAAUGAAAAUGGUCAAUGAAACCAAGGUUGUGGGUAUGACAGGUGGACUGAAGCCAGGUGUGUAGAUGCUGAGAAGCCGGCUGAAGCUCUGGGUCAUGGUUGCUGGUAUCAGGCUGGUAUGGCGUUGGUAAGGGACCACUGAUAAAACCAGAUUUCCCGCAACUUUUUAAAAGGCUGAAGAGUUUAUUAAAAUCGCCUUUCGUCCGCUCAGAUUCCCGGCAAACUGUGUCAUGUGGACUAGGACCCUGUCAAUGGAGGAAGGAAGGAACUUAAGGAAGGAAGCGCAACAGCCCGGGUAGUUUGUUCAGCAACGUCGGACUGUGGCUCCAGGAAAACACUGUGUGGGUUUCGUUGGAAAAAAAAAAUGGAUGCUCUUAAUGAUGCUAUCGCUCACUAUCAAGGUGGUGGGUGCGAAAAGGGGGCAAGGAGAGGGAGGAUGAAAGGCUCGCUGCCGGGAGGGGCACGGAUGGUAUUACGUGCAGCAGGUGGGUGUGUCGAGCCAGCGGCAUCGGAGCUGGGCGAGAGAGUGCGCCAGAGGGUCGGCUGCUUUUUGGAACGCUCGGCCACGACGAAGCUGGUCAGGACAGGACAGGGAGCCGGCGGGUCGAGGAGCUGGUCAACAGUGAGUCAUUCCUCUGGAGCUUGUCUGAGAGGCGACGGAUGUCUUCUUUAAGGUGUUCCGAGGCUCAUCGGUAACUCACCAGGUUUGCCAUGACGAUUGUAUCCAUAAUGACGGGCUCGGAGGGAGUUCCCAGGGUGAACUGGAGGCCACGGGGCGGCUGGCCUGAACUGACGUCAAAACAAUGGCCUUCCAACAAAAGGUAGAUGUUGUCCAGAUCGUAGCGGGUGUGCACAGACUCCACCAUCCAGCUCUCGGGAGUGUUGAGGUUCAGGGUGAAGAGGGGAGACUGAGGCAUGUCCAGGAACCUGGCCAUGGGGCCGGGAGAGAAACUACCAUCAGCUUGGAACGCCACCUCCGGCUCCAACACAUGACGGUAAAAACUGGAAGAAAACACAGGGACUUUUUUUAACAGGUGGAGGAGUCAUCAUGCCAUAAUCUGCAUGCCUUUAGCCAAAACAGCAAACAUAAAGAAACUGAAAAAUGUCAGAUUUUGUAAAAAACAACAGAGUGGCUUAAAUGUUAAGGCUUCAAAGUUAAAAGGUGCCCUGUGGAGUUUUCUUGUAAACAAAGUAAUGUUUACAUCC
Long non-coding RNA from Perca flavescens (yellow perch), 1368 nucleotides. RefSeq lists it as uncharacterized. The transcript is spliced from 3 exons. Lineage: Eukaryota; Metazoa; Chordata; Actinopteri; Perciformes; Percidae. The record is from RefSeq and is a predicted model, not a curated record.